Long non-coding RNA from Oncorhynchus tshawytscha (Chinook salmon), 1311 nucleotides. NCBI's taxonomy places the organism in Eukaryota, Metazoa, Chordata, Actinopteri, Salmoniformes, Salmonidae. The record is from Ensembl.
GGAAGUUUACAUACACUUAGGUUGGAGUCAUUAAAACUCGUUUUUCAACCCCUCCACAAAUGUCUUGUUAACAAACUAUAGUUUUGACAAGUCGGUUAGGACAUCUACUUUGUGCAUGACACAAAUCAUUUUUCCAACAAUGGUCAUGACUCGUUUCAUGCCUCAGGUUGGGACCAACAUGGUUGAGUAUCUGAACCAGGUGGAGGUGACCAGACCCUAACCAUUUGUGUUGGCUCUUGGGGACAGGUGUUUACAGUCAUUAGUGGAGCUGCAUUGGAGCAACGUACACUGCUUGGGACACUGGAUGUGUGCUUCAAGUCCUAUUAUGCUUGAUAUCAUCUUUCCAACUGUGCCCCAGCAUGGGACUUCCUACAGGCCACGGUGUAACAGCUACCAUGGACAGAAUCCCUGCAGUAAGACUGUUGCGAGUGUCUUCCACUGAACAAUAGUUAAUAAGUAUCAUGCUCUUGUAUGUACUGUGAGAAGUGACAGGGAGAAGGACAGGCCUCUGGGUAAUGUCUUCCUGUGAAUUAAUAGAGCAAUGAAUGGAUGAGCCAUCAAUACUAAUAUGCUCUUAAGGCACUAUUUAUAGUUCUGUUAAAUUGACUUUUAGUUCGUUUCUGUAUGCAUUUUAGCCUACUUUUGGAAAACAGUACAGUAUGUGGCUUGUUUGCCUUUAGUUCAACUACUGAAGCGCUUUCUGGUACGCUUCCAUUCCAUCACAACAAUUUAUUUGAAAUACAAAUGUUACAUUUUGGUGAUUGUGAACAGUGCUUUUUGAAUGAAAUGCAAAUAAGUCGACAGGUAGCCUAGUGGUUAGAGCGUUGGGCCAGUUACCGAAAGGUUGCAAGAUUGAAUCGCUGAGCUGACAAGGUAAAAAUCUGUCUUUCUGCCCCUGAACAAGGCAGUUAACCCACUGUUCCUAGGCUGUCAUUGUAAAUAAUAAUUUGUUCUUAACUGACUUGCCUAGUUAAGUAAAGGUAAUAAAGUCACUAGGCCAUGUCCUUAGUAGUGACCUUCAAAUGUUAUAUUUUACACUUGUUUUGUGUAUUAAUGUUUUAACUCAACUGAAAUGUACACCAUUAUCGUAUGUCAAAACAGCAGUGUGUGUGUGUGUGUGUCCUGUCAAAUAGAUAGCUGUAAGUGUGUCAGUGAAAUACUAUUGAUUAGCUCUGGCACUGCCUGAUAGACAGAUCUGUGUUAAUAACACUUAAGACGGACAGACUGUCGCACGCAUGCUUUUCCGAUUGCAAUCUGAGUGUGCACAUCAAGUUCAGCUGAGGCUUUAGUCUGAAGUUUGGACAGUUUGGU